RNAcentral lists this ribosomal RNA (133 nucleotides) under Castor canadensis (American beaver). Lineage: Eukaryota; Metazoa; Chordata; Mammalia; Rodentia; Castoridae. The record is from RNAcentral.
CUUCAGUCUAAGACCAUAUCCUGAACAUGCCCAAUCUCAUCUGGUCUUAGAAGCUAAGCAGGAUCGGGCCUGAUUAGUGCUUGGAUGGAAGACAGAUCUUCAAGAGACUGCUCAGAGACAAGCAGUUUGGAGA